GUCUACAGCCAUACGACCCUGAACACACUUGAUCUCAUCUGAUCUCAGAAGUUAAGCAGGGUCAGGCC
RNAcentral lists this ribosomal RNA (68 nucleotides) under Homo sapiens (human). The record is from RNAcentral. Lineage: Eukaryota; Metazoa; Chordata; Mammalia; Primates; Hominidae.